AACUUUUGGCAAUGGAUCACUGAGCGCGGUUCUGACAACGGCCUUCGCAUAGGAGCCCGACGGGUCCUGGUAAUAGUGGAUGGGGCGGGCCGACUGGUCGAAAGCCAGCAAUUGCGAUCCACUGGCGUUGCGAACGGCGGCGAGCGCCUGUUCAAAGGUGAAGUCCUGGCAGUCAAAGGCGCGUCGCGCGAUUGCGACGAAAGUCUCAUGCCAUUCAGGAACCAUUUUCUUUCGAAACCACAUGCGUGCAGUAUCUCCAUAUGGAUGAAAUUACGCGCGCGGAAAUUGACGCCUCCGUCGAGGCCACGCUGCUGGAAUUCGGUGCGAGCUGGUGCGGGUACUGUCAGGCAGCGCAACCUCACAUCGCGUCGACCCUGAAGAACCAUCCGAACGUGCAGCAUAUCAAUAAGCGGAGGCU
RNAcentral lists this unclassified non-coding RNA (418 nucleotides) under uncultured Ascomycota. RNAcentral describes it as "sequence contains ITS2". The record is from RNAcentral. Lineage: Eukaryota; Fungi; Ascomycota.